GAUUGACGCUUGGCAGGAUAGCACGUAGAAUUGGAGAAGGGAUGUUUUAUAUAUGGGUGGGGAUUGCACAACCUGUCAACCUUAAACAAUCAAAGCAGACCUCAAAAUGUUCUCCAAAAAGAGCGAAGCCGAUUCCCAAAAAGACCACGCUUGCUUCCAAGAUUAUCGAUAGCGAUGUCGGGCAGUAACUUCGUGGGAGGCCUACUCUCUUGGAUUAAAAUAUUGUUUUCCUCCUUCCUCUCUUUGGAAGGAAGUGGAGUUGAAAAGGAAAACUCUCUCAACCUUGCUGGUUCUUCUCUUUUUGCUUCUUCUUCGGGCUAAGAACAAGCUGUCCGUGUUGUGCUUCCAUCAAAGGCUGUCAAGCCUGCUACUGUUUUUCGCAUGGAAAUCUAAGAUGUAUCCUCUUCCCUUUCAUCUUGCUGCUACUAAGGCUUCAACAAAGAAAUCAUUCGAUCCUCUCUUGAUCAUCCCUCUAGCUAUUAUGGUUGUUGAAGAUGAUGAUGGUCCUCAAAUUCCUCUACUCCUUGCUAAUGAAUCUGUUGUUGAUGCUGCCGAAGUUGAUCCUGCCUUAGAUUUGAUCCUAUCGGAGUCCUUUGAGGAGGUUCCCCUAGAUGUCCUACUGCAGGAAGAGGUUAUCCCUUCACGUAUUUCUGCACCGGUGAUUGAGGAGAUGCCUUGAAUGAGCCAUCAUUAGUAGGCAAAAUGAUGGAUGAUAUGGGUAUGGAUGAUGUUCUUCUGAGUAUGGUGAUGUUGGAAAUCAGGGAGCGUAGGAGGACUAGACUGGUUGUUGAAUAAGAUAUGGUAAGAGGGAAGAAAACUAGGAAGGUCUCUUUAGUGGAGUCAGGUUCACUUGACAAGACUCCUGCUAAAGGGCCUGCCGCUGGCAAAAAGAGCAAGACCCUUAUGAAGGGAGUUCGUUCAAAAAGAGCAAGACUGUUAUGAAGGGAGUUCGCUCUUCAGUGCGACUACAAGCUCGUGGUAUUCCUAAAGGUGGUUCAUUAGUGACUGCAAUUGCCUUCUGCGACCCGACAAUGGUGGAUGUGGACUCUUCCUCGAUUUCUUCCUCCGGAGAUGAUGAGCUCGAUGAGGCACUUAUGCUAGAGGAGAUGUACUUCGGUUAUGGUCCUGAUGGACCAGAUUCCUCCUCUAACCCCUCUCUUCCUAUUUUUUAAUGAAUUUUUUAUCAUGAAAUAUUCGGGGCAUAGGCCAUCCUAGUAGGAAAAAUGAUGUUAUAUUGCUGGUCUCUCUAAGUAUAUGCCAGUUGAUUUGAUUUUACAAGAAACAAAGCUCUCCAGUCCCAAUGCGUCUGGGGCUCGAGAAAUUUGGGGAACUAUUGUUGUUAGUUUUUGUGGUAUUGAUGCUAAUUGUG
Molecule: long non-coding RNA, 1369 nt
Organism: Amborella trichopoda
Lineage: Eukaryota; Viridiplantae; Streptophyta; Magnoliopsida; Amborellales; Amborellaceae
Source: RefSeq, a predicted model, not a curated record